RNAcentral lists this ribosomal RNA (112 nucleotides) under Caerostris darwini. Lineage: Eukaryota; Metazoa; Arthropoda; Arachnida; Araneae; Araneidae. The record is from RNAcentral.
AACGGCCAUACCAUGCUGAAUAUACCGGUUCUCGUUAGAUCACCGAAGUCAAACAUCAUUGGGCGCGGUCAGUACUUGGGUGGGUGGCCACCUGGGAACACCGCGUGCCGUU